Molecule: ribosomal RNA, 253 nt
Filed under: uncultured bacterium
Lineage: Bacteria
Description: partial 16S ribosomal RNA
Rfam family: Bacterial small subunit ribosomal RNA
Source: RNAcentral
UACGUAGGUGGCAAGCGUUGUCCGGAUUUAUUGGGUUUAAAGGGUGCGUAGGCGGCCUUAUAUGUCAGUGCUGAAAUAUCCCGGCUUAACCGGGAGGGUGGCAUUGAUACUGUAGGGCUUGAGUGUAGUCGGGGUAGGCGGAAUUGACGGUGUAGCGGUGAAAUGCUUAGAUAUCGUCAAGAACACCGAUAGUGUAGACAGCUUACUAGGCUACAACUGACGCUGAGGCACGAAAGUGUGGGGAUCAAACAGG